GACCUCGGAUCAGUAGGG
This 18-nucleotide ribosomal RNA is filed under the name Macrophomina phaseolina. Its description in RNAcentral is "partial 28S ribosomal RNA". The record is from RNAcentral. Lineage: Eukaryota; Fungi; Ascomycota; Dothideomycetes; Botryosphaeriales; Botryosphaeriaceae.